UACGUAGGGUGCAAGCGUUGUCCGGAAUUACUGGGCGUAAAGAGCUCGUAGGCGGUUUGUCGCGUCGUCUGUGAAAACUCGAGGCUCAACCUCGAGCUUGCAGGCGAUACGGGCAGACUUGAGUACUGCAGGGGAGACUGGAAUUCCUGGUGUAGCGGUGAAAUGCGCAGAUAUCAGGAGGAACACCGGUGGCGAAGGCGGAUCUCUGGGCCAUUACUGACGCUGAGGAGCGAAAGCGUGGGGAGCGAACAGG
This 253-nucleotide ribosomal RNA is filed under the name uncultured bacterium. Its description in RNAcentral is "partial 16S ribosomal RNA". It matches the Rfam family "Bacterial small subunit ribosomal RNA", at positions 524 to 776 of the family's 1533-position model. The record is from RNAcentral.